AAAUUGAAGAGUUUGAUCAUGGCUCAGAUUGAACGCUGGCGGCAGGCCUAACACAUGCAAGUCGAACGGUAACAGGAAGCAGCUUGCUGCUUCGCUGACGAGUGGCGGACGGGUGAGUAAUGUCUGGGAAACUGCCUGAUGGAGGGGGAUAACUACUGGAAACGGUAGCUAAUACCGCAUAAUGUCGCAAGACCAAAGAGGGGGACCUUCGGGCCUCUUGCCAUCGGAUGUGCCCAGAUGGGAUUAGCUUGUUGGUGGGGUAACGGCUCACCAAGGCGACGAUCCCUAGCUGGUCUGAGAGGAUGACCAGCCACACUGGAACUGAGACACGGUCCAGACUCCUACGGGAGGCAGCAGUGGGGAAUAUUG
RNAcentral lists this ribosomal RNA (369 nucleotides) under Shigella sonnei. RNAcentral's name for it is "bacterial SSU rRNA". It matches the Rfam family "Bacterial small subunit ribosomal RNA", at positions 1 to 366 of the family's 1533-position model. Lineage: Bacteria; Pseudomonadati; Pseudomonadota; Gammaproteobacteria; Enterobacterales; Enterobacteriaceae. The record is from RNAcentral.